Molecule: long non-coding RNA, 515 nt
Organism: Heterocephalus glaber (naked mole-rat)
Lineage: Eukaryota; Metazoa; Chordata; Mammalia; Rodentia; Bathyergidae
Source: Ensembl
CCCCUCCGCCGCGUUCUGUAGGGGGCACUGCAGGGUCGCGCAUUUCCAGAGGGAAAGUUCCCGGGAAACUGCCCCCCGCCCCCAAUUAGCUCUGCCCCGCGCGCCCGCCAGCCGGGCCGUCCCCGGCCCAGCCCUCGAGAAGCCUCCACCCGGGCCGGCGGGACUCGGCGGGGGCUGCUCCGACUCCGAGCCCGGGCGGCGACUGGCGGGCGGCCUGCGUGGGCCGGAACCACCUGCAGGCCGGGUGGCCCGGAGUGCAGUCAGCUCGCCCCCCGAGCCCCCUCCUGCCCUCUUCAGAGAACCGAUCUUGGUAAAUAACAACCGAGCUGCUUUUCUGCACAAACAUCAAAUCAGGAUGUUAGCUGGUCUGCCCACCAUGGUGACUCCAGGGAGUGAAGUUCUGGUGGCUUCUUGGAAGGAGCUGGUGACAAGACAAAGAUGGCCCAGACACCUUUGCAAAGUGUCUCCAUAGAGUAACAAAUUGCAUUAACCACAUCAUGGACACCUUGUCAUUA